GUUGAAACACUGGUUCCCGUACGAUCACCAAAGUUAAGCAACGCUGAGCCUGGUCAGUACUUGGUUGGGG
This is a non-coding RNA of Acanthosepion pharaonis, 70 nucleotides long. Lineage: Eukaryota; Metazoa; Mollusca; Cephalopoda; Sepiida; Sepiidae. The record is from the annotation of a GenBank genome assembly.